GACUUCCCCGGAGUGGUUUUUCUCUUAACUGAGUUUCCACUUCGUGAACAAAAAUCUUUGUGUCAUUUACUUUCCGCUGUGCCUUAAUUUUUGUUGACACAUAUGCACACACUUUACUUUUAGAAGUCAUUUCAAUUUUUCAAAGACGUUGCUACAGGCUCAGACCUAGAGGAAUGAUGUCUUGGAGCAGCGCAUUCAUCAUCUCGAGGCCAUCCUCACUUCCGUGGCAGUAUCACAUGUGAGCCCAGGUGCUUAGCAGUCUCCACCUGCAAACGGAGGCAGUACGUCGUCUGUUAGUAGUGCUUCUGCAUGUAAUUCGACAACGAUUGGUCCAUUGUUACCUAUUGGACGACAGCUGAGCCAGCACUCCCCCGUUGGGACUCCAUCACCUGUUACACCAUCCCUCGCCCAGUAAUCGCCCGUUGACGAGCACACGCCUGCUACGAGAGUUCGUGAUCAGCAGAGACGGUCCUCAGAUUUGUAGAUAUUAUGUGUAAUUUUGUUUUGUUAGUAACUAAUACGUUUAUUAGUACAUAAUCUAUUGUUGUUAGAUUAUGUAGAUUUGUGUACAUAAUCUAUUAGUACAAACACGUUUAUUAGUACAUAA
Long non-coding RNA from Alnus glutinosa, 607 nucleotides. RefSeq lists it as uncharacterized. NCBI's taxonomy places the organism in Eukaryota, Viridiplantae, Streptophyta, Magnoliopsida, Fagales, Betulaceae. The record is from RefSeq and is a predicted model, not a curated record. The transcript is spliced from 2 exons.